GAGCAACAUAAACCCUAAAUCUUAGAUUCUUAGCUAUUGCUUCUCACUUUCAAAACCCUAAAACCCCUAAAAGAGAGACAAUACAAUCGAAUUGGAUUCGCCGCCUCGCCGCCGUAAAGAGAAAAAUGGUACUGAAGCUAUUCGAGGAUGACGGUGAUGAGCUGGACAAGAUUGAGAUUAACGAGGAAUUCGCCCGCCGGUACGAGCACAACAAGAAAAGAGAAGACUUGCAAAAGCUGGAAGAGUUGAAGAAGAAAGGCAUAGUUGAUGACUCCGACGCAGGAUCCGAUGAGGAAGACGAUGAAGAAGAAGAGGAUCUGGAUACUUCAAGUAAUUUAAAGUUCUUUGAUGGUUUGCUUAAGAUUAAAAAAGGUGACCCUGUUUUGAAUACUAAAGAUGCUAAGUUAUUUAAUUCUGAAUCUGAAACUAAUUCUGAGUCGGAGGAGGAUGAAGAAAAGGAGAAGAAAGUGAAAAAGAAAAAGCAAAAGCCAAUGUAUUUGAAGGAUGUAGCCUCUAAGCAUUUGAUUGAGGAGGGUCCCGAAUUCGGAGACGAAGAGGAAGAGAACAAAGUGAAGACGUAUAACGAGGAGCAAGAUGAUUUGAGAAACGAGUUCUUAAAUGCUGUUAAGGAUGAGGAAGAAGAAGAGGGGGACUUGUUUAAGAUGAAAGAGGCUGAGAAAGAUGAGGAGGAGGGUGACCCUGAGUUUACUAAGAAGUUGGAUGAGUUUUUCGGGGAGGAUGAUAAGCUCGAUGAGCAGACGGUGUUUUUAAAGGAUUUUUUUAGGAAGGAGAUGUGGAGGGAUGAUAAGGGAAGUAGUAAGAAAGGGGAUGAAAAGAUUGAGGAGGCGGAAUUUUCGGAGGAUGAGGAGGAGAUUGAGAGACAAGAGGAUUAUGAGAGGGAGUUUAAUUUUAGAUUCGAAGAAAAUGCAGGUGAUCGAGUGUGGGGACAUUCAAGGAAGGUGGAGGGAUCAGUGAGGAAGAAGCCGAAUGCGAGGAAGUUGCAGAGGGAGAGAAAGGAAGAGAGAAUGGUGCAGGCGGAAGAGGAGAGAAAAGAGGAGUUGAAACGAUUGAAGAAUCUGAAGAAGAAGGAGAUGAAGGAGAAGCUUGAGAAGAUUAAGGAGACUGCUGGGAUAGGAGAUGACGGGGUUUGUUUGUUGGAUAUGGAUGAUUUGGAGGAGGAAUUUGAUCCAGACAAGUACGAUAGAAAGAUGACGGCGUCUUUUGGUGAUGCCUACUAUGACGGAGAUGAUAUAGAUCCUGAAUUCGGAAAUGAUGAGGAUGAACUUGAAAAGCCAGAUUUUGACAAGGAAGAUGAGUUACUGGGACUCCCCAAGGGAUGGGAUAAUGUGGACGAGCCUCGUGAUGGGUUUUUGUCAACUAGGGAAAAACUUCUGAAAGCUAUAGAAACUGAAGGUGAUCACGAGCAAACAACUGAUGACAAUAAAGUAAGUGCAGAUGACGAUGAGGCUGCUGAAGAUGGUAAAAGAAAGAAGAAACGGAAGCGAACUAAUACAGUUAUGAAGGCAGUUAGAGAAGAACUAAUGGAGGAGUAUUAUAAAUUGGACUAU
RNAcentral lists this unclassified non-coding RNA (1568 nucleotides) under Hevea brasiliensis (rubber tree). Lineage: Eukaryota; Viridiplantae; Streptophyta; Magnoliopsida; Malpighiales; Euphorbiaceae. The record is from RNAcentral.